UAUUACUGUAAAUACUAUUACAAAUACUACUACUCUGAAGCUAACUAGGCCAGGCCUGGUUAGUACUUGGAGGGGAGACUGCUGAGAAUACCAGGUGCCACAGUGGAAC
Molecule: ribosomal RNA, 109 nt
Filed under: Periophthalmus magnuspinnatus
Lineage: Eukaryota; Metazoa; Chordata; Actinopteri; Gobiiformes; Gobiidae
Source: RNAcentral